RNAcentral lists this long non-coding RNA (695 nucleotides) under Androctonus crassicauda. The record is from RNAcentral. Lineage: Eukaryota; Metazoa; Arthropoda; Arachnida; Scorpiones; Buthidae.
AUAUGUCAAUGCAGUUGUUAUUGACAAUGCACAAAAAAAAAUAUUUUUUAAUAUCGAUAUUAGAAAACAUUGAUGUUUUUGGACCAAUAUUUUCUAACAUCAGUGUUACCUUUCGAUGGUUUUAUCAGUGUUAAAUGUUGGUGUUUUCUUAUCGAUGUUCAACUCUAGUUAGCAGACACCUAGUAAUAUAGAUGCUGACUUGAGUCAAGUGUGUGAAAUUAGCAGUUUUAUACAGUACCUUAUGGGAAGUGAAUAUGAGGAUAAUUAGAAAAGUAGUGAAAAAAUGCAAAAGAGAGCUUGCUUAUAAAAGGCAUUCAACUAUCUUUAAUAAUUAAGAAAUGAUGUUAUAAAAAAAGAACAAAGAACAGUGGAUAUAUGUAAUACCAUUCUAUAAUAAAGAUCUAAAACAAAAUAAAGAAUACAUUAAUAUCACAAAAUGAAAUUUGGAAAAGAUAGACUGGUUGAACAUAAAACUGACAUAAGUCUAAGAAGAACAGGAGCAGCACUUAUCAAAUGCUUUUAUGAGUAUAAUUUAGUUGUUGGUUGGAAAGGAGAUAGUGAUAACCCUGUACAAAAUCAUGAGAGAGGGUUUAAUGAAAGAAUCACUUUAAAUGUUAAAAAGAACCAAACAUAUGAAUAUUGUGAAUGGUAAUCAACCAGAUAAUUCACCAAAUUCGUGGAUACAUUCAGUUCAG